This 1047-nucleotide ribosomal RNA is filed under the name Bacillus altitudinis. RNAcentral's name for it is "bacterial SSU rRNA". It matches the Rfam family "Bacterial small subunit ribosomal RNA", at positions 36 to 1070 of the family's 1533-position model. Lineage: Bacteria; Bacillati; Bacillota; Bacilli; Caryophanales; Bacillaceae. The record is from RNAcentral.
CUCAGGGGUGCUAUAAUGCAGUCGAGCGGACAGAAGGGAGCUUGCUCCCGGAUGUUAGCGGCGGACGGGUGAGUAACACGUGGGUAACCUGCCUGUAAGACUGGGAUAACUCCGGGAAACCGGAGCUAAUACCGGAUAGUUCCUUGAACCGCAUGGUUCAAGGAUGAAAGACGGUUUCGGCUGUCACUUACAGAUGGACCCGCGGCGCAUUAGCUAGUUGGUGAGGUAACGGCUCACCAAGGCGACGAUGCGUAGCCGACCUGAGAGGGUGAUCGGCCACACUGGGACUGAGACACGGCCCAGACUCCUACGGGAGGCAGCAGUAGGGAAUCUUCCGCAAUGGACGAAAGUCUGACGGAGCAACGCCGCGUGAGUGAUGAAGGUUUUCGGAUCGUAAAGCUCUGUUGUUAGGGAAGAACAAGUGCAAGAGUAACUGCUUGCACCUUGACGGUACCUAACCAGAAAGCCACGGCUAACUACGUGCCAGCAGCCGCGGUAAUACGUAGGUGGCAAGCGUUGUCCGGAAUUAUUGGGCGUAAAGGGCUCGCAGGCGGUUUCUUAAGUCUGAUGUGAAAGCCCCCGGCUCAACCGGGGAGGGUCAUUGGAAACUGGGAAACUUGAGUGCAGAAGAGGAGAGUGGAAUUCCACGUGUAGCGGUGAAAUGCGUAGAGAUGUGGAGGAACACCAGUGGCGAAGGCGACUCUCUGGUCUGUAACUGACGCUGAGGAGCGAAAGCGUGGGGGAGCGAACAGGAUUAGAUACCCUGGUAGUCCACGCCGUAAACGAUGAGUGCUAAGUGUUAGGGGGUUUCCGCCCCUUAGUGCUGCAGCUAACGCAUUAAGCACUCCGCCUGGGGAGUACGGUCGCAAGACUGAAACUCAAAGGAAUUGACGGGGGCCCGCACAAGCGGUGGAGCAUGUGGUUUAAUUCUAAGCUACGCGAAAACCUUACCACGUCUUGACAUCCUCUGACAACCCUAGAGAUAGGGCUUUCCCUUCGGGGACAGAGUGACAGGUGGUGCAUGGUUGUCGUCAGCUCGUGUCGUGA